Callithrix jacchus (white-tufted-ear marmoset) is the source of this 5243-nucleotide RNA transcript. RefSeq lists it as uncharacterized. The record is from RefSeq and is a predicted model, not a curated record. Lineage: Eukaryota; Metazoa; Chordata; Mammalia; Primates; Cebidae.
AUGGAUGCUUGGUGUGCAUUGCAAGAUGCUAUUGAACUACACACUUGGCAGGUCUUUGCCCUAAAGGUCAUUUUCAAAAUAAAUAAUUAUGCCACUUCCCUUUUCUCACAUUAACCCUAAGAGAGAAAGAGGAAGCGGGAAGCCCGCACACGGAAGCAAUUUGUGCGCAGACGUUCCUGGGCUAGGAGAGGAGCCUUCGGAUUGCUGCAGAGACGGUCGCCCGAGCCUGCUGCACCUUUACCGGCGGUGCGGAGAACUGCAGCGCGGCUCGGCGCGCACGGGCUCGUGGGUGCUCUAGGGCUGCGCAGCCACUGCUGUGUGGAGGACGGGGAGUGGCGGCUGAUAUGGCUGUUGGGUGUCCCAGUGCCCGCCCCGGCUUGGGGCCUCGCCCUGCCACUAUCUCCGAGGCCCACCGCCGGUGCCUCCCUGCAGGGCGGCUCCCCCCAAAACUGCCCGCAGCCAGCCCCCCAGAGCUGCACCCGCCCCCAGGACCGGCCCCUCGAGGACAGGGCCGGGACUUCCCUGGGCGGCUGCAGCCGUAAGCCGCGCGUUUUGUUAAACCCACACACUGCCAUUCAGGCCGCACUUGCCCGUUGCCAUGGACGUUUUUUGUGUUGUUGACACAAGCAGGGACACGAAAUCCCUUGACUUUGAGUUGCAGAUCGUGGGUGUUGGCGUCUCCCCUUUGUUACCGGGAAGGGUGGAAGGGGCUUCAGUCUCCAUUCUCACUUUCCUUGUCAAGGAGUUGGCUAAGCACCAGGAGUUUUCUCUUAGGCUUCUCUCAGGUCCCCUUUCCAUAAGAGGUGAAAAGUUUUCAGAGAGGUGGGCAGCUUUCUCUCUAUUCUCAAGGGACCACUUCACACACCCCUUUUCACCUCCAGAGUAGAUGGAACUGUGGAACCAUGGAACCCUGCCCGCUGUUGCUUCCGUCAUACCCUACUGGGACCAGAGCCACAAAAGCCCUAACUCUCUCCAGCCUGCAGGCAUCCCAACAAGAGUAAGCGAGGAGGCAGAGACCAGGAGGACAGCAAGAGGCUUUUACCCGCAGAGAGGGCCUGGGAACACAAUGCUGAACGUGGGUCCAACCACUGCUUCUCAAUGGGGUGGGAGAGUGGUGUGGGGAGAGCUGCGGGCAUUUAGAGCAAGACAGUGCCCCCCCCCAUGUAUGAAAUGUUCAGGGCUGCAUUGCCUCGUGAUAUCUAGCGGCCCUCCCCCACAACCUGUAUGUAUGAAAUGCAAGCAGCACCUCCCCAUCUUUGUGACAACCCAAAAUGCCACCUCCUAUGUCCAAGCACCCUCUAGAGAGUGAGAUGUUUCCUUAGGUUGAAAACCACUGUUAGAUCAUUUCUAAAAUAUGUCUCAAAAGACAUCAGUUCCUUAAAAUAUAAGUAGGUGUUACAUGAAAAAAGUAGUAUGCUAAUACCAGUAUCAUGUUAGGUUUGGGAAAUGGUGGGUUAAAAAGUGGAACAGGAUUUAUUUACAGGACCUCUUAGAACCUUUAAUAUAUAAAAAUAUAUGUUUAGCGGUUUUUGUUUUUGUUUUUUUUUUUUUUUUUUGAGAUGGAGUUUUGCUCUUAUUGCCCAGGCUGGAGUGCAAUGGCAUGAUCUCGGCUCACCGCAACUUCCACCUCCCGGGUUCAGUUAUUCUCCUGCCUCAGCCUCCCAAGUAGCUGGGAUUACAGGCAUGCACCACCAUGCCUGGCUAAUUUUGUAUUCUUUAGUAGAGAUGAGGUUUCUCCACGUUGGUCAGGCUGGUCUCGAACUCCCAAACUCAGGUGAUCCACCACUACCCCCGGGGUCAUAAAUAUAUGUUUUGAAUCACCAAGAGGGAGAUGGAGUAUGCAGAUCCCCAAAUUUAAUUGGCUCUGGAAUUCUUUCUUUGUGGGGCCCUUUUGGAUAGAACCCACCUUAGAUACCCAUGAACUACAUUUUGUUGUCCAGAGCACUCUCUGGGGACUUCUGUAUCCUCCCAGUGUGAAGUGCGGGAGUGAGCAGUCAAAAGGCCCUUAUGUUCUUACUGAAUUGAAUCACCUAGAAUGUGUGAAGAUACCAGGAAGGAGGCCAGAGCUUCAGGAAACCGCUGCAAAGAUGACCUCACAAAGAAACCAUUGUGGCGAGGCUUCUGGAGCACUCGAGGUGAUGUGACGUGUCCUGUUCCUGAGAGCGGGCCGUCCAGCUGGCGCCUUGAGUUUGCAUGGCUUGGGGAAAGGAAAAUAGCCUGAGUGUUUGGAAGAGAAGUAUGUGUGGAUGGAAUUAUUCAAAUGCUGAUGGAUGGACUGGGUCUCCUCUCCUGCUGGACUGGCAGCCUCUGUGUGGGAGGCUUUGCCCAGAAGAUGGGUCACAGCAGCUCUGGUGAGAUGCUGGAAACAUAAGCCCAGGCAGAUAUAAUGACAGCGAGUUACAGUAAACCAACAGCCAUCAGGUGCUCAGAAGGGAAGCCGAAGCCAGGGGACUCACUGUGCAGAGCAGAACGAGGAGUAGGACUCUCCUGUUCUGCAAAACACAAAGAGCAGAGUGUUUAAGCCCAAGGAUCAGCUUCCUCUAAAUGGAAGCCCAAGCCGUGCACGCUGAGCUCCAGGGCUGGGAAUACAAUCACCUGCCACAUGCGGGAGGGUGCCACCCAAACAUACCCAUUUCUCCCCGGGGCGUGGUCAGGGGCAGGGGAGACAGGGCCCUACCACCUUCUGUGUAAAACUGGGUGAGCAGCCCAGCGCCCAUCAUUCCAGAGCACCUCACCUGCACCCUCCCAGCCUUGUAAUCUGCGUUCUGCUCGCCAUGUGCUCUGUGCUAGUGAAACUGCCCUCAGAGCAGAAAUACACUGUUGGCCCUUAAGUUUUUCCAGACUAACCAGACUGGCCAAUGCUUGCAGCUCUGUGUUCAAAAUAAAAGUACCUAAGAAAGAAAAGAAAAGUGCAAGUAGGAAGUCCUCACUUCUCCGGGGCUGGUGGGCUCUGAGGAUCCUGCCUCGGCCUCUUGAACAGCUCAGAGUCACUUUAAAAAAAAAGAAAAGGCUGAGCAACCUUUCUUUGCACAUGGGUCACAGCCAAGCUUCUUAAACUUGGAUGACAGUAAACCUAUGACUAGAUAAUGAAAGCCACAAGUCUGGAGGCCCCGGCAGGGCUCUGCUGUGGAAUCUCUGGUGGCCCGUUCCAUAGGCCGGCGUCUCUUGUCUUCCCCAUAGCAGAAAUGCUUUCGUGAGUUUGAAACCCUCUGUGGUGACCUCUACAUCUUCUCAAGGUCAGGUCUCCACUUGUUCAUGGCUUCAUGCCCCCUACCCUGCAUCCCUGUCCACUGCAAGGAAGGUGGAAAUCCAACCCACCCGCCACAGCGCAGCCCACACUCACCACCCUGCCCGACAGGAACAUGACGGAAGGUUUCCAACUCAAACCAAAGUUACUCAGCAAAGCUUCCUGCCAGGCAGUCGUGCUGGAGGGCGCAGCGUGCCUCCCUCGGCCUUUUCUGUUCUAUGAAACUUCUCUGCCGUAAGCACUUGAGAGCCUCCCCACUUCCUGGGGAGAGUGGACGGAACUUCAAAGCAGGCACUGCUACAGCUUCGAAGCCCCUGGGUUGCUUCAAAGACUCUGUCUCCUCCCAGUCUGAAGCUUCUGGUGAAUGUUUCUCCCUCAUUUCUGAAACAACAGAGCUGCUGAAGUUUACAACGUCCCCCAAGGCAUUUCGGUGUUUCUGCCUUUAAUCUAGGGCCCAAAUGAGCACCCACAAGAAUGCCCCGGACCCUGACCGCCUCAGGAUGUGUCCUGCAAUUUGCAUCCCAGAGAUGCCUCCGCCUCCACUGCAGCCACCUCCUGGGCCACCCCUGCCUCCUCCCUUUCUCCAUCAUGCCAAAAAGUGCCCUGGUCCUCUGACAGUGGAAGAUGGGAUGCAACUAAGGGUCAGGAUGGUCUAUGUGAUUUUUGUACACUAUUCCAGAAUAGUAUGUGGUUGCUUUAAAAAGAAGGCUGGGCACAGUGGCUCACACCUGUAAUCCCAGCACUUUGGGAGGCUGGGGCCGGAGGAUCAUGAGAUCAGGCGUUCAAGACCAGCCUGACCAACAUGGUGAAAUCCUGGCUGUAGUAAAAAUACAAAAAGUAGCCAGGUGUGGUUAUGAAUGUAUGUAAUCCCAGCUAUUCAGGGGGGUGAGGCAGGAGAAUUGUUUGAACCUGGGAGGUGGAGUUUGCAGUGAGCCGAGAUCACUCCACUGCACUCCAGCCUGGGCAACAGAGCGAGACUCUGUCUCAAAAGUAAAUAAAAAGAAAAAAAAUGUGUCUUUCAAAUUUUUGAAGCCCUUUGAUUUCAGGAAGCCAUGGGUCGUGUUUAGCCUGUGGCUCUGUGUGCCCCCGGCUGCUGCUGCCUACUCGUGAGUGUAAGGUUGCCAACAUAAGAAGCAAGAGUAAUUUGGAUUUGUGCUUCUUAGUAAAAAACCCUUUCCCAUUACCUGCAAAACUCCAGAAGGCAGGGGAUCUCUCACUUUGAGGAUGCCUGUAAAAUAGUGGGCAUUCUCCAAUGAUUGUUGAUGGAGUCAUGUCAUUCCUUAAAGAAAAAAUAAAUCAAAGAAAGUCACUCUUGGCUCGGGAUGGUGCAUUUGCAAGUGUUUAGGCCAAACAUGUGUUGAGAAAUUGCACAUAUACUGUGUACAUGUCAUGUCAGCAGGAAUUUGUGCUACAAAACCUCUUAUUUCACCCACUAUCUUAUCAUCUGUAUCAGGCAGACUAAGGCCUGGCAAACCAUAUGAGCCUUCAGGAGAUCUGCAGACUGAAAAGGGGAUUUGAGAUAUAGAACUCCAGAGUUCUAAAACCAAAAUGAAAAGUAGAAAGAUGAUUGUCCUGUGAAGUGGCCCCAAGCCUCAGACCAUCACCAUCUGCCUCUGGCCUCACUUGGGGGCCAAUGAAGAUACUCAGCGAGGAGCCUCUUAGCUGUGGUUGUGACUUCCUGGCUGGCCAGCCCCGAAGUAGAGGAGGAAGAAGUGUUGUGGUGAGCUCUGUGACUCAGGGUGAGGCAGCCAGGACAUGAGCCCAGCGCGCCUGCCUGGGGUUGCUGUGGAGAGGUGGUCUCGGGACAGAUGAAGCUGCAGUGGGGACUACCUCCCCUGCAGAAGCAGCUUUCUUGUCCUUCCUCAUCCAACACACCCCAACUUAAAAAACCAUUAGGCAUAACUCGGAAAGCAGGUCCAUGCUGUACCUGUGUGUGUCCCUCCAGAUUUCUUUGUUCCUCGGGGGAAAGCAGCAAUAAGCAUCACGUUCCUUUUCA